Molecule: long non-coding RNA, 800 nt
Filed under: Citrus sinensis (sweet orange)
Lineage: Eukaryota; Viridiplantae; Streptophyta; Magnoliopsida; Sapindales; Rutaceae
Description: long non-coding RNA (CSIN_LNC000779)
Source: RNAcentral
AAACUAAAAAUAAAAGAAAAUGGAGUGAUGACCACUAACAAUUUUCUGUCGUAGUUUCGGUAUCUAUGGGUAAUUGGCCUUUUCUUCAUCUUCUUGUUUCGUCUCCUUUGCUGUAUCUACUGCACGGAAGUUCAAUUUAAAAAAAAAAAAUGUAUAAGCGUUCUCAGACAUUCAAACUUUAAAUUGGAUGCAUCGAAUAUUGCAUGCAAUAAAAUUUGUACUUUAAGGGAAGGGCUUUACAAAAAUGUAAUUUGUAGUUUCUUUUUUAAUAUGUAUACCUCGGCAGAACAAGGGAGUUUAAAGGAAUGCUAAAAAAAUGUAACUAUUCUAUAUAUAUAAUUACGUCAACUUUUGACCUUAAAGCAAAAUAGAAAAUUAUUAUUUGAUCGAGAAUGUCAAAUACAUCUAGUGUUAAAAAUGAAUACAGAUAAAAUCAUAUAUAUAUAUAUAUAUAUCCGCUUAAUACAUAAAGAUACUAACAUUCUGCAACUAAGCAGGGGGAUGAGAACAACUAGUGCAAACAGAAGAGCUAAGAGAGUAAUAGCCUUGGUCUUCAUUUUGCUUGCAAAUUAAGAUAACCGCUAAGUCUUAACAGAGAGAGCUUCUAAAAAUGAUAUGAGCACCCGGGCUGCUUUAGCCAUUAUUUAUAGUGCCGAAGCAGCAACACAUACUGGUCACUAAGAGGAAAGUGAGCGGUUAGAAGAAAAGUGAGAGUAAUACAGUUUUUUUCCCCCCUCUUAAAAAUCUUCCAUGUACAACAUCUUAGCUGGCUGAUGAAGAUUUUGGCACCUAGUCGUAGU